Molecule: long non-coding RNA, 1435 nt
Organism: Amblyraja radiata (thorny skate)
Lineage: Eukaryota; Metazoa; Chordata; Chondrichthyes; Rajiformes; Rajidae
Exons: 2
Source: RefSeq, a predicted model, not a curated record
AUUCGCCCUUCGCAUUACGCGAAAGAGUGAGAGAUGCAGACAAGGAGACUGGGGAGGAGGGGACUGACAGAGAAAGAGAGGAAAAAAAAACCCAUGCCGGCUUUCUCUUCCGGUUCGGCAGUUUCAAGGUGCCCUCGGCCUACUCGUUUGCAUAUUUAUUACGCGUCACAAACGGGAAAUCCGCACGUGGAGGCACGCGCGGAUUUUAAAUGAAAGUUCCAACUGACCUGUUUGUGUUAACUCGCCCUGGAAGGACAGAUUAUAGGAAAGGGCAUCUCGCUUUUUGUUUGCAUAUGAGGGCUUCUAGAUAAAUAUACCAGCAGACGCCAAUGCCUCUGAGGAUGUAUUGGCAGUGUGUGGCAAAUAAUCUGCCAGGACCUGGAGAAGAAACAGGAUGGGAAAAUAAUGAAAGCAAAAUUUUGUUUUUGGUAUGGAGAUCCUUGGAAGGAUAUCCCUGAGAUAGUCUUCCUGUGGAUUAUGGAAAACAUUUGCCUCAUUCCGAACCUAGUCCUGCAUGAAAGCCUCCAGGAGAGUUUAGUGGUAUUGAGAUUCAUUCUCCUGUUUCAUUCCUUAAACAGCAAUGUGAAAGGAAUAUGGCCUCGCAUUUUACUUCCAAUCGGCCUUUAGUAGAUCACCCAAAAUUGCAGUGCGAAAUUGAACAGACUGUCUUUUACUUACUGUGAAUGAUUGGGCAGCUGUUUAAACCUAUUAAAAAGUAAUUUGGGUAUGUGUAAACACACGUACACAAACACACACACAAGCCUGGUUCUGGUUGCGUCUUGGAGGUUUGCCUCUUGCCUGUCUUACAGCCUGCCUUAUUAACAUUCUGGUUUAACAUCUUGUAGCUUCUAUGUUUAAGAAAUCUGCAGUGGAAAUUCAAUGUGCCGGUGGGUUUCUGCAACUGCAGUACAUGAAUCAUACUGCAGUAAUUUUGCUGUGUGACUCACACUGCAGUUAUGUGUAAUUUUUAUUUUAGCAAGCAUGGCAGUGUAAAAGGUUACACACAUUAUGUAAUAUAUUGUAUUCCUUUAGCAGGAGGCGAUGACCUGAUUUUCUAGAAUGCUGUAAACAGAAAAGAUACUGAUUACUUAUUCCAACUGCAGUUUUAAUGUAUAUUUAAAGGAGGAAAUGCUUUAGAGUUGUGAAGGAGUAACAUUUUCCACAUGCCAUGUGAGAAUAGAGAUGGAAGAUGACAUGUUGUAAAUGAGAGUGCAACUUCAGGCCAGACAACAUUCCAUUCUAGCAUUGUAUGAAGGGGGAAAAAAGCAUUCAUCAGGUCAAGUUUGGAAAAUUAGCUGAAUGGCUGACUCGAACAGUAAGCUCUGUGGAUCAGCAAAACAAAGCAUUGUUGGUUGCACGGUUGAGAGAGCACCUCAUCUUGCAGACCCAGCAUAACAACCAGGGAUCCAAUAAACUUUGGAUAUUGUGACAUAAA